CAGGUUUACCUGUGUGACUGCGUACCUUUUGUAUAAUGGGUCAGCGACUUAUAUUCUGUAGCAAGGUUAACCGAAUAGGGGAGCCGGAGGGAAACCGAGUCUUAAUUGGGCGUUAAGUUGCAGGGUAUAGACCCGAAACCCGGUGAUCUAGCCAUGGGCAGGUUGAAGGUUGGGUAACACUAACUGGAGGACCGAACCGACUAAUGUUGAAAAAUUAGCGGAUGACCUGUGGCUGGGGGUGAAAGGCCAAUCAAACCGGGAGAUAGCUGGUUCUCCCCGAAAGCUAUUUAGGUAGCGCCUCGUGAAUUCAUCUCCGGGGGUAGAGCACUGUUUCGGCUAGGGGGCCAUCCCGGCUUACCAACCCGAUGCAAACUGCGAAUACCGGAGAAUGUUAUCACGGGAGACACACGGCGGGUGCUAACGUCCGUCGUGAAGAGGGAAACAACCCAGACCGCCAGCUAAGGUCCCAAAGUCAUGGUUAAGUGGGAAACGAUGUGGGAAGGCCCAGACAGCCAGGAUGUUGGCUUAGAAGCAGCCAUCAUUUAAAGAAAGCGUAAUAGCUCACUGGUCGAGUCGGCCUGCGCGGAAGAUGUAACGGGGCUAAACCAUGCACCGAAGCUGCGGCAGCGACACUCAGGUGUUGUUGGGUAGGGGAGCGUUCUGUAAGCCUGUGAAGGUGGCCUGUGAGGGUUGCUGGAGGUAUCAGAAGUGCGAAUGCUGACAUAAGUAACGAUAAAGCGGGUGAAAAGCCCGCUCGCCGGAAGACCAAGGGUUCCUGUCCAACGUUAAUCGGGGCAGGGUGAGUCGACCCCUAAGGCGAGGCCGAAAGGCGUAGUCGAUGGGAAACGGGUUAAUAUUCCCGUACUUGGUGUUACUGCGAAGGGGGGACGGAGAAGGCUAUGUUGGCCGGGCGACGGUUGUCCCGGUUUAAGCGUGUAGGCUGGUUUUCCAGGCAAAUCCGGAAAAUCAAGGCUGAGGCGUGACGACGAGGCACUACGGUGCUGAAGCAACAAAUGCCCUGCUUCCAGGAAAAGCCUCUAAGCAUCAGGUAACAUCAAAUCGUACCCCAAACCGACACAGGUGGUCAGGUAGAGAAUACCAAGGCGCUUGAGAGAACUCGGGUGAAGGAACUAGGCAAAAUGGUGCCGUAACUUCGGGAGAAGGCACGCUGACAC
This 1175-nucleotide ribosomal RNA is filed under the name Salmonella enterica subsp. enterica serovar Newport. RNAcentral's name for it is "partial 23S ribosomal RNA". It matches the Rfam family "Bacterial large subunit ribosomal RNA", at positions 580 to 1757 of the family's 2925-position model. Lineage: Bacteria; Pseudomonadati; Pseudomonadota; Gammaproteobacteria; Enterobacterales; Enterobacteriaceae. The record is from RNAcentral.